Molecule: transfer RNA, 64 nt
Filed under: Pachyrhinus yasumatsui
Lineage: Eukaryota; Metazoa; Arthropoda; Insecta; Coleoptera; Curculionidae
Description: tRNA-Cys
Source: RNAcentral
AGUUAUGUAGUCUAAUUAGGAUUUUAAAUUGCAAAUUUAAAGGUAAAUAUAAAUUUUGUAACUU